AAGAGCUUGUGACCAACUUUCAUUUUUUUGGGAAGGUUUGCUGGUGGUCAGUUGUGAGGAGAGUAAAGUGCCCUGCUUCUACUCUGCAGCCAUCUUAACCUGGAAGUCUCAUCAAGUCAUGACUUUGGAAAGAACUUGCUCAAGGAUGAAACCAUAUAAAGCAGGACCAGAUGAAUGAAUGGAGAGGCAGUGUAACAUGGUGGAUAGUGAUGGACUUGGAGUCAAGAAGAUCUGUGUUCAGCCCCAUCUCAGGUACUUACCAGCCUUCUGACUCUGGAGUGAAGAGACUGGACGUUUUGGCUCUCUCCACUCUACAUCCGCUGCUUUGCCUGAUCAAGAUGCCCCUGGACCAGGUGCACAAUAGUCUCAUGGGAUUAUUACCUCUUUAGAAAGCUUCGGAAACCUUAAGCACCAUAAGAAUGAAACCAUCAUUAAGAAAAGAACAGUUCAAGAAAACUUCCUGAAUUCAAAUCUGGCCUUGUGUGACCCUAGGCAAGACACUUAACCCUGCC
This is a long non-coding RNA of Gracilinanus agilis (Agile Gracile Mouse Opossum), 512 nucleotides long. RefSeq lists it as uncharacterized. The record is from RefSeq and is a predicted model, not a curated record. The transcript has 6 exons. NCBI's taxonomy places the organism in Eukaryota, Metazoa, Chordata, Mammalia, Didelphimorphia, Didelphidae.